AGCGAACGCUGGCGGCAGGCUUAACACAUGCAAGUCGAGCGGGCGUAGCAAUACGUCAGCGGCAGACGGGUGAGUAACGCGUGGGAACGUACCUUUUGGUUCGGAACAACACAGGGAAACUUGUGCUAAUACCGGAUAAGCCCUUACGGGGAAAGAUUUAUCGCCGAAAGAUCGGCCCGCGUCUGAUUAGCUAGUUGGUAGGGUAAUGGCCUACCAAGGCGACGAUCAGUAGCUGGUCUGAGAGGAUGAUCAGCCACAUUGGGACUGAGACACGGCCCAAACUCCUACGGGAGGCAGCAGUGGGGAAUAUUGACAAUGGGGGCAACCCUGAUCCAGCCAUGCCGCGUGGGUGAUGAAGGCCCUAGGGUUGUAAAGCUCUUUUGUGCGGGAAGAUAAUGACGGUACCGCAAGAAUAAGCCCCGGCUAACUUCGUGCCAGCCGCCGCGGUAA
RNAcentral lists this ribosomal RNA (450 nucleotides) under uncultured bacterium. RNAcentral describes it as "partial 16S ribosomal RNA". It matches the Rfam family "Bacterial small subunit ribosomal RNA", at positions 29 to 523 of the family's 1533-position model. The record is from RNAcentral.